RNAcentral lists this ribosomal RNA (330 nucleotides) under uncultured eukaryote. RNAcentral describes it as "partial 18S ribosomal RNA". It matches the Rfam family "Eukaryotic small subunit ribosomal RNA", at positions 1470 to 1796 of the family's 1831-position model. The record is from RNAcentral.
CCCUUAGAUGUUCUGGGCCGCACGCGCGCUACACUGACGCAUUCAACGAGUCUAAAACCUGGUCUGAUAGGGCUGGGUAAUCUUUUGAAUGUGCGUCGUGAUUGGGAUAAAUGAUUGUAAUUCUUCAUUUUCAACGAGGAAUGCCUAGUAAACGCAAGUCAUCAGCUUGCAUUGAUUACGUCCCUGCCCUUUGUACACACCGCCCGUCGCUCCUACCGAUUGAAUGAUCCGAUGAAUAUCAUGGACUGAGAGUGUUAGAGUUUUCGGACUUCUACACUUCUCGGGAAGUGAAGUGAAUCUUAUCAUUUAGAGGGAGGAGAAGUCGUAACA